RNAcentral lists this ribosomal RNA (211 nucleotides) under uncultured bacterium. Its description in RNAcentral is "partial 16S ribosomal RNA". It matches the Rfam family "Bacterial small subunit ribosomal RNA", at positions 1291 to 1500 of the family's 1533-position model. The record is from RNAcentral.
GUUCGGAUUGUAGUCUGNAACCCGACUACAUGAAGCUGGAAUCGCUAGUAAUCNCGGAUCAGAAUGCCGCGGUGAAUACGUUCCCGGGUCUUGUACACACCGCCCGUCACACCAUGGGAGUCGGAAAUGCCCGAAGUCUGUGACCCAACCAUUAAGGAGGGAGCAGCCGAAGGCAGGUCGGAUGACUGGGGUGAAGUCGUAACAAGGUAUC